CUGUGAAUAUUCUCUCUGUUCUGGUUUUGUAAUAAUCAGGACAGACUGAACAUUCUCUAUAAUAAUAAGACUAUGCUUGUGUUCACAGACCUAGAUCUUUAUCCACCUAAGUCUGAUCUUCGAAAUGCUAGUGAUAAUU
Molecule: small nucleolar RNA, 139 nt
Organism: Sorex fumeus (smoky shrew)
Lineage: Eukaryota; Metazoa; Chordata; Mammalia; Eulipotyphla; Soricidae
Product: small nucleolar RNA SNORA72
Exons: 1
Source: RefSeq, a predicted model, not a curated record